CGGAAAUUAGCGCAGCCCGGUAGCGCGCCUGCUUUGGGAGCAGGAUGUCAUUGGUUCAAAUCCAAUAUUUCCGACCA
RNAcentral lists this transfer RNA (77 nucleotides) under Pseudomonas putida. Its description in RNAcentral is "tRNA-Pro". It matches the Rfam family "tRNA". Rfam says of the family: Transfer RNA (tRNA) molecules are approximately 80 nucleotides in length. Their secondary structure includes four short double-helical elements and three loops (D, anti-codon, and T loops). Further hydrogen bonds mediate the characteristic L-shaped molecular structure. tRNAs have two regions of fundamental functional importance: the anti-codon, which is responsible for specific mRNA codon recognition, and the 3' end, to which the tRNAs corresponding amino acid is attached (by aminoacyl-tRNA synthetases). tRNAs cope with the degeneracy of the genetic code in two manners: having more than one tRNA (with a specific anti-codon) for a particular amino acid; and 'wobble' base-pairing, i.e. permitting non-standard base-pairing at the 3rd anti-codon position. Lineage: Bacteria; Pseudomonadati; Pseudomonadota; Gammaproteobacteria; Pseudomonadales; Pseudomonadaceae. The record is from RNAcentral.